AUCAGUGACCCUCGAUGUUGUCAUCAAACCCAGGUUCAGCUGCUCACCUGUCAAAAGCCAAACACAGGAGAGGAGCGAUGGCGGGAAGAAAGCAGGUUUAUCUGGAGAGCCAGUAAUCUGAGAAGAUGGUGGACUAGUAUCCUAAGGGAAAACAGUGAUGCGAAUUCUACUCUGAUAUGCUAUAUAAAUGGAAAAAAAUAAAAGCCUGGAUGACAGCACAUCUCUUUACAAUAUGGUUUACUGAGUAUUAUAAACCCACUGCAGAGACCUACCUCUCAGGCAAAAAGAAAAAAGAAAAAGAUUCCCUUCAAAAUUUUACUGCUUAUUGACAAUGUACCUAGUCACCCAAGAGCUCUCAUGGAGAUGUACAUGGAGGUUAAUAUUGCUUUCAUGCCUACUAAUACAACAUCCAUUCUGCAGCCAGUGGAUGAAGAAGUAAUUUCAACUUUCAAGUCUUAUUAUUUAAGAAAUACAUUUUGCAAAGCUAUAGCUGAGAUAAAUAGUGAUGCUUCUGAUGGAUCUGGGACAAAGAGUUGAUUCCAACCCUAAUGAAUGACUUUGAGGGGUUCAAGACUUCAUUGGAGGAAACAACUACAGAUGUGUCAGAUUAGUCAUAUGAAAGAUAGCUAGAAUUAAACAUGAAACCUAAAGAUGUGACUGAAUUGGUGCAAUAUGAUGAUAAAGCUUGAAUGGAUGAAGAGUUGUUUCUUAUGGACAGAAAAGAAAAUGAUUUCUUGAGAUGAAAUCCAAUCCUGGGGAAGAUUCUGUGAACGUUGUUGAAAGGUCAAUAAAGGAUUUUGAAUAUUCCACAAACUUAUUUGUAAAGUAGCCACCAGGGUUUGAGGUGAUUGACUGAAAUUUUGAAAGAAGUUCUACUGUGGUUAAAAUGCUGUCAAACAGCAUUGCAUGUUACAGAAAAAUCAUUCCUGAUUUCAUAGCCAUCCCAAUCUUCAACAACCACCAGGCUGAUCAGUUAGUAGCCAUCAACAUCGAUGCAAAACUCUCCACCAGCAAAAAAAAAAAUAUAUGACUCCUUCAAGGCUCAGAUGAUCAUUACUAUUUUUGGCAAUAAAGUAUUUUUAAUUAAGUGGUCUACCAUGAAACCCCCAGUAUCUCUGAGUUAUGCCUUUAUAUGUAAAGGUAGAAAUCUGAUCAAAAGAAUGAAGAGACAAAACUGGAUACUUUAUAAUGCAAAAGGCUACAAUCCACAGUACAUAGCGACAACUGAUAUAAAGAUGAAACAGCAAAAGAUUCAAGGAGAAAUAAAGACAAAUUCAAAAAGGAAAGACUUUUUAUAUGUGCUGCUUUGAUUACUUAGUAUUUUAUAUGAGUUUCUUUCUCUUUGUUCUUUUUCUGGAGUAGAGUUUUUUUUUGCGGGGGAAGGAAUGCUGUACUCGCACUAAAAUUUGAUUUGUUGCUUAAAACAAUAUACUUUCAGAUGAAAAUUUGUGUGUUACAAAAAUAACCACUAUAUUUGGAAUAUACUUGGAAGAUUCACAAAAGUUUUCUAACAGCUUGACUGAAAAGAACAACACAAGAAAUGUAAAGAAAUAAUAUAAAUAAAUUUUGUGGAUAAAAAUAGGAUAAAUUAAUAACAAAAUCAAAAUGCUACUUGCUGCAAAAAUUUAAAAUAUAUAAGCACCAAUAAAGAUGCUAUAUUAAAUACCCUUGAUUCAAAGAAAAAAAUUAGGUAAAUUAUAAUUUUUUAAAGUGUAAUGAUAAUGCAAAGCUAAUAAACUACAAUCUAAGGAAUUCAGCAAAAUCAGGUAUCAGAGGAAUAUUAUAGUAUUAGACACAUAUAUCAACAUAAUACUAUAUAACUAUAAACACCAGUGUCAGAAAACAGCAGCAAAGCCAAACAAAGUAGAAGGACCAGAUAUAAGCAAAAUUAAGUGAUUUCAGAAGUGUAAAUUAAGUUCAGAUACUUUUCUGUAUCUCGUAGAUUAUCAAUUUAAUUUAUUCUCCUCAGCUCCUAUACUAUUAUGAAUUGAAUUAUGAUUUCCUAAAAUCUUUUGAAUUCCUGCAUUAAAACUCAAGUGAUUAUAACAUAUUAUGUCUAAAUGUUGUCUUGUAAUCAUUUUCCCUAAUACUCUAGUAAAUAUAUUUACAUGAUUGAUUGUUUAAAAUACUGUUUGUCACUAAUUUUUUUGUUGCAGGUUUGGGGAUAAAUAUUAUAUUUCUUAGAUAAAAGUAAUUUGGAAUUUUCUGUUUUAUCAUGCCUUUGAAUAAUCUAAAUAAAUAUAACUUACUUAUUCAGAUAAGAAUGGGGAGCUACUUCCUUAUUAUGAAGCAUAUAUGUAUGCAUACAUAAAUGCUUCAAUCAAGAACAAGACAAAUAAGAAAAAAAUUAUAAAAAAUACAUUAAAAUACGUAGUCCAUGUGUAUAUACAACUAUACACUUUGUACUUAUCAUAAAAGUAAUGACUAAUGAUGCCUUCUGGGUCCUCUGCUUAUUUAACAUUAUGACUAUACUGGUCAGUACAAACUGACUAGAGGAGAGAAAACAACUAGAGGCAAAAUAAAUUCAAAAGGAGAGGUAAAAUAAUCUAGUUAGACAGCAUAAUUAUACAUCUUGACCACCAAAAUAUUCUAAAAAAAUAAUGAAAGUGAUGUUAGAUAAAUACUUUAGGUAAAAUUAACAUAAAACCAAUAAAACAUAUAUAGACAAAGCAAGAAGUGGCUAUUAGUUUUAAUGGAAACAAGACAAAAGCAAAAAAUUAAAAAUAAAAUGAGAUAUUACUACACACCUAUCAGGUAGAAAGGCUAAAAUCUAAAGCACUGACAGCACCAAAAGUAGCAAGUAUGCAGAGCAACAAGGAAUGAUGGGAGGAAUGCUAAAUGGCACAGUCAUUUUGGAAGGCUGUUGAUAGGCUUUUAAAAAACUAAACAUAUUCUUUCCAUAUGACCACAAAUGGUGCUCCUUGGCAACUUUACUCACAAUUACCAAAACUUAGAAGCAAGGAAUAUGUUCCUUCAAUAAGUGUAUGAAUAAACAGAUGGUAGUGCAUAUAGGAAAUGAAAUAUUAUUCCAUAAUAAAAAGAAAUGAUCUAUCAAGCCAUGAAAAGACAUGGAGGAAACUUAAAUGCAGGUUUCUAAGUGGAAGAAACCAGUCUGAAAAGACUACACAUUAUGUGAUUCCACCUAUGUGGCAUUCUGGAAAAGGCAACACCAUGGGGAGUAAAACAAACAGUGGUUUCCAAAAUUUUGGAAGGAAAAAGGGAUGCAUAGAUAAAGCACAGGGAAUAUUCAGAACAAUGAAACUAUUUUGAGGAUUAUGUAAUGGUGGGCAAAUACCAUUAUUUAUUUGUCAAAACUUACAUUAUGUAUGACACAGCGAGUGAAUUCUAAUGUAAACUAUAAACUUUAACAAUGACAUAUCAAUAUGAAUUCAUUAUUUAUAACAAAUAUGCCAGACUGAUGUAAGACAAAAUAGGAGAAACUGAAGGUCAUGAUAAGACAUAGGGGAAGUGUCAAUAUUUCCUAGUCAAUUUUUCUGUAAAAUUAAAUCUGCUCAAAAACAAAAUUAUUUAACUUAAAAAAAUGAGCAGACAAAAUCUUAGUCAUAAGCUUAAUGGGAAAUAUUCCUAAUCUAGAAAACCAUAAAAAAUUUAUCAAGGCUCACUAUUAUACUUGAAGACCUAUUAUAUCCUUGCACAGAAAGAAAAUAUCAUAAAGUUAUCAGUUGCCCAAAAGUUAAUUUAUAAAUAUAAUGCAUUACCACUAAAAAUACCAUCAAGUUUUGUUCGGAAGCAAGCUGAUUAUUAAUUAUAGUUGGAAUCACAAACAGUCAAGGAGAGUAACAAAUUUCCUAAAAUGUAAGAGCAAUUAUGGUGUGCUAAUCUACCAGGUAUGGAAUAGUAUUAUGACGUCUCUACAUUUAAAAGAUUGUCAUAUUGGCCUACAAGAAAGCAGACCAAUGGAACAGAACAGAAAUUCCAUAAGUGAACACUACUACAUUUCAAAAUUUAGAGUAUAAAAAGACAUUACCUCAAAAAAAUGAAGAAAAAUUAGGUUUUACAAUAAGGAAUAUUUGAGAUACCUUGCUAGUCAUUUGGGAAAAAGAACUAUAUCAAUUUCUCACAGUAUAUCCCAGAUAAAUCCCAAAUGGAUCAGAUUAUUAAAUCUAAAAAACAAAUAAUUUUAGUUAAUAAGUGAAUAAGGCAUGAUAUAAUUUGAAUGUCACUAUUUUCAAGCCUUUUUGAAAUAUAGAUUGUAGGCAAUAGUCAUGAGUGGGGUAAUCAUCCAUAAAACAAGGACCAGUGAAUAGUGGGUAGGUUUUGUUGAAAUUUCACAUGUUCAGGUAUAAAGCAUUUUUUCUAGAAAUGGAAACUGAAUCAAAUUAGGUCUUCAGAUCUAAAUAUCAGAAAAUAAUUGGUAUAAAGUAUAGAUAAUACUUGGGAAGAGGUAUAGGUCCAUGGAAGUGUGUUUUGCAGAUUCCAUAAUGUAGUAUAAUUUACAGCAUGAGUGUACCAGUUUAUCAGCAUGGUUUGUUAUAAUAAAGUGGGCUCUUAAUUUGAAUAAGAAAACAAUGAAUUAGAUUUCUAUUACAAUUCCUGGGUCUUAAUUACUUAGAAUGACUAAAACAUAUAAUCAAUAGUUUAUAUUAUUAUAAAUCACACUACUCAAUAGGAAAACAGAGUGUCUUGUCAAAUAAAAAACACUAAUUGAUUUUGCAAUUUUAAACAAUGAUUGGAUCAUUAAAACUAUCUAUCCUUAUUAUCCUACUGUAUAUUUAAAUAGGUUCAGUACUAAUUAUUUUAGUAUCUAAAUUGUUAACAUUAUCAAACUGUUUGUCAUAUUAUGCAAAAGGUUCAGCUAAUGCUAAGCCUAACAAGACCUCUCUGUACUUGUUGAAAUCUUGUGGUAGACAGUGAGCACCUAUCCCCAUAAAACAUCAUUUUUUUGAGUAAACGCCAUCCUUACAUGUAUAAGAUGCUUGAAGUAAAAUAUCCAUGAAUGUAUACAAUUUUCCUAUGAUAGUUGUAACAGAGGCUGUCAGUACCACACUAAUAUCCCAUAGUCUUUGUCACACUUGCCCUUAACGUUCUUGUCACCCUUGUCCAAUUUCCCACAGUCAACCUCUGACAAAAGAUAUCUUUUUGCCCUUCAUGCGUAGUAGACCUGUGUCUUAAUCAGCCA
Molecule: long non-coding RNA, 5140 nt
Organism: Homo sapiens (human)
Lineage: Eukaryota; Metazoa; Chordata; Mammalia; Primates; Hominidae
Exons: 3
Source: RefSeq, a predicted model, not a curated record